Long non-coding RNA from Engraulis encrasicolus (European anchovy), 243 nucleotides. RefSeq lists it as uncharacterized. The record is from RefSeq and is a predicted model, not a curated record. Lineage: Eukaryota; Metazoa; Chordata; Actinopteri; Clupeiformes; Engraulidae. The transcript is spliced from 3 exons.
GAAUGAUGGCUGGCGAGGUUGUUCGAGGUCAUUUCAUGAUGAGGAUGGACCAGACUUUAAGACAUUCUGAGCUCCAUGAAUGACAUGAGACACUCCAGGAGACGGUGGUUGCAAUGCAAUAUCAACACCCCGCAACCCCAACCCUCCAAUGGAACCCAGAACCCUCCGGAGUUCCUCAGGACCUGUCGGCAUGAGUGAGGCGAACACAUCGAACGUUGGGGGUAGAGUUGCAGUGACUACUUG